GUUCUUAUGGCAUAAUAUAAUUGCCUAGCAUUCAGUGUUUUCAACGCUUAUGAAUUUUAGCAGUUUUUUUUUUAAUUUUGUUCAACAGAAGACUACCAAGGAUGAAUACACUUCAAAGGAAUGCAAAAAGUCAGUGAGGAGUACCGGGUUCCCAUUACCACUCCACUUUGAUUUGAAGAGGUUUCACCUAAGGAAAUCACUGGAGCUGAUUCCAAUGGACGAGGGGGCGAUAUGGUUAGACCUAUGCUAAGGAAUAUGACUUUUACCACAGAGUCGUGGAUGGAUUAAAGUGGGAAGAGACUUGAAUCAAGGAGGACAACCACCAGGCUGUUAGAAUUCAAUAGUCUAUGUAUGAGUGGUAAGUGUAUUGAUUUAGAAUCUUGACCCCUGAACUACAUCUCCCACAAUUCCCUUUCCUGUUGUGCAUCAUUUUAU
RNAcentral lists this long non-coding RNA (435 nucleotides) under Monodelphis domestica (gray short-tailed opossum). Its description in RNAcentral is "lncRNA (ENSMODG00000049404.1)". Lineage: Eukaryota; Metazoa; Chordata; Mammalia; Didelphimorphia; Didelphidae. The record is from RNAcentral.